AUCACUUCUCGGCCUUUUGGCUAAGAUCAAGUGUAGAAAUACGAUGAUUUAAAAUUAAUUUUAUGCUUAGAAUAUUA
Small nuclear RNA from Oryctolagus cuniculus (rabbit), 77 nucleotides. Its record names the gene U2. It matches the Rfam family "U2 spliceosomal RNA". Rfam says of the family: U2 is a small nuclear RNA (snRNA) component of the spliceosome (involved in pre-mRNA splicing). Complementary binding between U2 snRNA (in an area lying towards the 5' end but 3' to hairpin I) and the branchpoint sequence (BPS) of the intron results the bulging out of an unpaired adenosine, on the BPS, which initiates a nucleophilic attack at the intronic 5' splice site, thus starting the first of two transesterification reactions that mediate splicing. The record is from Ensembl. Lineage: Eukaryota; Metazoa; Chordata; Mammalia; Lagomorpha; Leporidae.